GGCCGCCUGGCGAAAUGGCAUCGCGUCUGACUACGAUUGGAUCUUACCAAGGUAUCAGGAGAUUGCAGGUUCGACCCCUGCGGUGGUCA
This is a non-coding RNA of Paramarasmius palmivorus, 89 nucleotides long. Lineage: Eukaryota; Fungi; Basidiomycota; Agaricomycetes; Agaricales; Marasmiaceae. The record is from the annotation of a GenBank genome assembly.